Molecule: non-coding RNA, 2631 nt
Organism: Phascolarctos cinereus (koala)
Lineage: Eukaryota; Metazoa; Chordata; Mammalia; Diprotodontia; Phascolarctidae
Source: RefSeq, a predicted model, not a curated record
CCUGACUCCAGGGCUGGUACUCUAUCCACUGUGCCACCUAGCUGCCCCUGAGGGAGAUUUUUAAAGAAGGGCUAUCUCUUCAUCAGAAAUUGGAGUAAAGGAAGAGAGGAUGGGGGAUGUUGUUAAAGGUUUUUGAGAUGUAGACCAGGAAGAGAAGCACCUUAUAAUGAAUAGAAUGAAGUGGAUUACUCAGAUCCUUCAAGGAUCUGGUCUCUCCAGUUGUCUAGGAAGGUAUUUUCUUCUAGAUAUUAAAACGUUCAUUUUUAGAUAAUAGAGAGUCACUAAACGAUUUCAUUUUAGCAAUUUAUCUUUAUCCUAGAAGAAUAGAUUUGGUGCCAUAAGAAUGUUACAAACCUACUCACCAAAGAACCACUACUUUGGAUAUUGACAAAUGUGAUUCAUCUUGUCUUUCCUUGGGAGUGCAUAAAUUGAAUUUAUUAUGCAUACAGAUUUCUUUAUAAGAUCUUAAACUGGAUAUAUUUUAUCAUAGUAUGAUAGUAAUUAUUCAAAGAUGUUUACCGUAAUUUUGCAGUUUUAGAAUAAGCUCAGAACAGAUUUUCUCUAAGGUGAAUUAGUCAUUUAAAUACCUUCUGCCUUAAAACAAAGCUAGAAAUCCCAAGGGGGCCUUAGCAGUAUGUGUGUGUGUGUGUGUGUGUGUGUGUGCGCGUGUGUGUGCACGUGCACACAUAUGCACACGCACACACACAUCCAGUCCACUGUGCCCCUGGGGCAACUUCCCGCACUUAAAAACAACCCAAUAAAAUUAGUACCAGAGCCAUGAUUAUGAAGAUUUUUAAAAAGAAUUUGCAGGAUUUCCUUAGCUCCCUCCAGGAGUCUUCAUCCAGGUUUGUGAAUAUCCACUCACCUGCCUAAUAUGAAGAGAAGUCCCCUAGAACCCCUUAUAGGGCUUCUGCCAGACCAGACCAGUGGACUCCUUCCGGAGCAACUGUCCAAGUCCUCCAGAAAAUCCUGCCCUCCUCUGCACCUGUUCUGUGCCUCUGAUGGGUAAGCCCCCUGCUUAUCAUAUCCACUUUUGUUUGGACAGCUCCUCCAACUUCCCCAGUGAGUUGUAUUCAAUAAAAGUCUGUAAUCACUACUCAGAGCUGUAGUGGUGGAAGGUUUUUCUUGUGCUGGAACAAGCACUAAGCUGAAGACACCUUCAAAACGUUACACUAAACUUGGCCUAAUUUUGCUUGUGGAAUAACAAUAUUGUGACCACUUCAUUUUUUUCUGUAUGUUGUUCUUGUCCAUUCAUGUCCCAUCUGCCUUUGCCCUACCAUUCUUCCUUUCUUUCCAUCAUUCAGGAGAUUUGGGUUCUAAUCUUGGCUUGGCCAUUUUCUGAGUUUGGACAAGUCUGUAUGUGACCUGUCUGGGUCCUUGUUCCAUUGCCUGUAAAAUAAGGGGAUUGAGUCUCCUUCUAGGUCUGAAAUUCAGUUGUUCUUUUUCUUUAAAAUGCCCAAAUAAAUACAUAUUACUUUUAUUUUUAAAUCAAGCAAAACAAACUCUCCUUUUCCCAUCAUCAUGUCCAUUUUUCUUUUCAUGGGUUGUAGUAUGGUGGAGUGGAAAGCCAGGAUAUAUUGGCUCUAGGCCUGUUCUUGUCACUGAAUUUGCUGUACGACCUGCAGGAAAACCAUGCUACUUCUCUGGCUCUUAGUCUCCAUCUCUAAAAAGAGGGUCCCAGAUAUAGAUGAUCUUUGAGGCCAAUUCCAGUAGAGGAAAGUCUCUGUAAAAGAAAUUGCCUCUGAGCUGAAAUCUCAAGUAAUUUAAAGUUUACUUCUAUUUUCUCUUUUAGUUCCUGUUCUUUUUUCUUUUCUCCUUUUCAGUGUGAUUGACCUUUAAGGCUCUUGCCAGACCUAAAAUCCUAUUACCUCAAAUCCUGUGUUUCAACCAAAAGGAUAAUAGAACUGUAGCCCAGAAGUACUGCUGUAAAGGGGAACUUUUCAUUUUGUUCUACAGUCUUUAGUAGUUGGUUGGAAGCCUCAAUCAGGGAUGUUGCACAGAGAGCUUAGAUUGAUUUGUCUAUGCCCUACCAUGGUAGGCAAGUGACUGAGUUGGAACCAGAACUCAGUCCUUCUGUUUCCCAGUUCAGCCAGCACUCCCCUUUACCUGCCUAACUUUUAUUAGAUGCUGUUAGAUGAUAACCUGUUAAACUAAUGCGACAGACCCAUUAGAUUGUAAACUCCUUGAGGGCAGGGACUGCCUUUUGCCUCUUUUUGCAUCCCCAACACUUAGCGCAAUGCCCUGCACAUCGCAGGGUCUUAAUAAAUGUUUAUUUAGUGGUAAUGCUGUCUUUUAUAAGAGUAAUCAUCCUGGGUUAACCUCUGCACAUCAACCCAAAAUGUAGGAUUUAAAAACUGAAUAUCCAGGAGAAAAAAUAGUUUAAAAUAUGACUGAUUCCUUUUUUGAAUUCACAAUUAAAAUAUUAGCUGACUUUGCAAUCAAGAGAAGCCGCAAGGUAGAGGCCAUUGUAAUGCAGAACAUUAUUUUACCAUUUAGGUAGUAGGGCCCUUUAGGCAAUGGAAAGCAGAAGUUGCUGCUUAAUCUUGCCCCAGACCUCUUUCCUCCUAAAUCUAAACAAUAGUGAAAUGUACUCCUGCAUGGCUUAAGCACAGCCCCUACCUCCAAAGCAAA